AACAGGUCCAAUCUAAUUCUACAUAAUGGUUUAUUUAUGUGGUCUCGCUUCUGGACCAAAUUAAAUCCCAUCCUUUAUUAUCCUUGUGCUUGUGACAUCAUUCCAGUUCAAUGCACACGAGAAACGUAGAGGAAUAAUA
This is a small nucleolar RNA of Drosophila elegans, 139 nucleotides long. RefSeq annotates it as small nucleolar RNA psi28S-1192. NCBI's taxonomy places the organism in Eukaryota, Metazoa, Arthropoda, Insecta, Diptera, Drosophilidae. The record is from RefSeq and is a predicted model, not a curated record. The transcript has a single exon.